GAUGCCCUAGUAACGGCGAGUGAAGCGGCAACAGCUCAAAUUUGAAAUCUGGCGCAAGCCCGAGUUGUAAUUUGUAGAGGAUGCUUCUGGGUAGCGACCGAUCUAAGUUCCUUGGAACAGGACGUCAUAGAGGGUGAGAAUCCCGUAUGUGACCGGCCCGCACCCUUUACGUAGCUCCUUCGACGAGUCGAGUUGUUUGGGAAUGCAGCUCUAAAUGGGAGGUAAAUUUCUUCUAAAGCUAAAUACCGGCCAGAGACCGAUAGCGCACAAGUAGAGUGAUCGAAAGAUGAAAAGUACUUUGGAAAGAGAGUUAAAAAGCACGUGAAAUUGUUGAAAGGGAAGCGCCUGCAACCAGACUUCGCGGCAGUGUUCCGCCGGUCUUCUGACCGGUUCAUUCUCUGUCGCGAGGCCAUCAUCGUCUGGGCCCGCCGGAUAAGACCUGAGGAAUGUGGCUCCCCCUCGGGGGAGUGUUAUAGCCUCUGGUGAUGCGGCGUGGCUCGGGCGAGGUCCGCGCUUCGGCAAGGAUGAUGGCGUAAUGGUUGUCGGCGGCCCGUCUUGAAACACGGACCAAGGAGUCUAACAUCUAUGCGAGUGUUCGGGUGUCAAACCCCUACGCGUAAUGAAAGUGAACGGAGGUGGGAACCGCAAGGUGCACCAUCGACCGAUCCUGAUGUCCUCGGAUGGAUUUGAGUAAGAGCAUAGCUGUUGGGACCCGAAAGAUGGUGAACUAUGCCUGAAUAGGGUGAAGCCAGAGGAAACUCUGGUGGAGGCUCGCAGCGGUUCUGACGUGCAAAUCGAUCGUCAAAUUUGGGUAUAGGGGCGA
RNAcentral lists this ribosomal RNA (823 nucleotides) under Cercospora sp. Q JZG-2013. RNAcentral describes it as "eukaryotic LSU rRNA". It matches the Rfam family "Eukaryotic large subunit ribosomal RNA", at positions 73 to 926 of the family's 3401-position model. Lineage: Eukaryota; Fungi; Ascomycota; Dothideomycetes; Mycosphaerellales; Mycosphaerellaceae. The record is from RNAcentral.